UACGUAGGGUGCGAGCGUUAAUCGGAAUUACUGGGCGUAAAGCGUGCGCAGGCGGUUUGUUAAGUCUGAUGUGAAAGCGCCGGGCUCAACCUGGGAACUGCAUUGGAAACUGGCAAGCUCGAGUAUGGCAGAGGGGGGUGGAAUUCCGCGUGUAGCAGUGAAAUGCGUAGAGAUGCGGAGGAACACCGAUGGCGAAGGCAGCCCCCUGGGCCAAUACUGACGCUCAGGCACGAAAGCGUGGGGAGCAAACAGG
This 253-nucleotide ribosomal RNA is filed under the name uncultured bacterium. Its description in RNAcentral is "partial 16S ribosomal RNA". It matches the Rfam family "Bacterial small subunit ribosomal RNA", at positions 524 to 776 of the family's 1533-position model. The record is from RNAcentral.